RNAcentral lists this ribosomal RNA (253 nucleotides) under uncultured bacterium. RNAcentral describes it as "partial 16S ribosomal RNA". It matches the Rfam family "Bacterial small subunit ribosomal RNA", at positions 524 to 776 of the family's 1533-position model. The record is from RNAcentral.
UACGUAGGGUGCGAGCGUUAAUCGGAAUUACUGGGCGUAAAGCGUGCGUAGGCGGUUGGCAAAGUCAGCUGUGAAAGCCCCGGGCUUAACCUGGGAAUGGCGGUUGAAACUAGUCGACUCGAAUCUGGCAGAGGGGGGUGGAAUUCCACGUGUAGCAGUGAAAUGCGUAGAGAUGUGGAGGAACACCGAUGGCGAAGGCAGCCCCCUGGGCUGAGAUUGACGCUCAGGCACGAAAGCGUGGGGAGCAAACAGG